RNAcentral lists this transfer RNA (73 nucleotides) under Chromobacterium violaceum. Its description in RNAcentral is "tRNA-Ala(tgc)". It matches the Rfam family "tRNA". Rfam says of the family: Transfer RNA (tRNA) molecules are approximately 80 nucleotides in length. The record is from RNAcentral. Lineage: Bacteria; Pseudomonadati; Pseudomonadota; Betaproteobacteria; Neisseriales; Chromobacteriaceae.
GGGGGAUUAGCUCAGUUGGGAGAGCACUGCUUUGCAAGCAGGGGGUCGUCGGUUCGAUCCCGUCAUCCUCACC